AUUGAACGCUGGCGGCAUGCUUUACACAUGCAAGUCGAACGGCAGCACGGGGGCAACCCUGGUGGCGAGUGGCGAACGGGUGAGUAAUGCAUCGGAACGUAUCCUUAAGUGGGGGAUAACGCAUCGAAAGAUGCGCUAAUACCGCAUAAUCUCUGAGGAGAAAAGCAGGGGAUCGCAAGACCUUGCGCUUUUGGAGCGGCCGAUGUCUGAUUAGCUAGUUGGUGAGGUAAAGGCUUACCAAGGCUUCGAUCAGUAGCUGGUCUGAGAGGACGACCAGCCACACUGGGACUGAGACACGGCCCAGACUCCUACGGGAGGCAGCAGUGGGGAAUUUUGGACAA
RNAcentral lists this ribosomal RNA (341 nucleotides) under uncultured bacterium. RNAcentral describes it as "bacterial SSU rRNA". It matches the Rfam family "Bacterial small subunit ribosomal RNA", at positions 30 to 371 of the family's 1533-position model. The record is from RNAcentral.